AUAUCCUAUCUAGAAAACAGCCUUGAUUCAUUGACCCAGCUGGUGGAAAUUGUUGAUCCGUAUCUUGUCGGCUAUAACAAGAAAUCUUAUCUUCAGAUGGCUCCCUUGUCCACGAAUUGCGCAGAAACGGCAUCCAGACAUCAAACACAAAUGGCUGGUGGUAUGGUGCAUGAUGAGACCAGCUCACCCGAUUAACCGACCGAUUCUUUGUAAAAUUCCUUUACCAGGGAAUCUAUCUGCCAACCAUGACCAUGAUGCAUGUAUGCAUACUUAAGAUCUCUUUUCACCUGCUUAUUCCUUCUAUGUGGGGCCUCCAACUGGCUGAUAUUUUACGAAGAAGAAAAGGAUUUCCUUCCAGUGUAUUUUUACUGAUUUUUCUUUUCAGAAUUUAUUGGCACUUGGUACAUAUUAAUGUCUGCUUUCUCAGCAUGAUUAUUUAUUCUUGUGAAUUAAUGGUGGUCAUCCUCUUAUA
Non-coding RNA from Phoenix dactylifera (date palm), 472 nucleotides. The record is from RefSeq and is a predicted model, not a curated record. Lineage: Eukaryota; Viridiplantae; Streptophyta; Magnoliopsida; Arecales; Arecaceae.